AAAAAAAUGAUAUUAUAAUAAUGACCAAAACUCUCUAGUAUUGUCAUAAAGGAACAAAUAGGUAUGAUGAUAUUAGGAGAACUAGGCAUCUAACUCUAAAGGUUUAAACCUACUUUCCUCAGAAUAUCCUGCCAAAACACAAGCCAAUUUACAACCUGAAAAGACCUCUAAUGUGUGUGUUGUGAUUUCUAUGACGAAAUCC
This 202-nucleotide long non-coding RNA is filed under the name Lathyrus oleraceus (garden pea). RNAcentral's name for it is "Pisum sativum (pea) long non-coding RNA (PSAT_LNC011557)". Lineage: Eukaryota; Viridiplantae; Streptophyta; Magnoliopsida; Fabales; Fabaceae. The record is from RNAcentral.